This is a long non-coding RNA of Mustela lutreola (European mink), 2332 nucleotides long. RefSeq lists it as uncharacterized. The record is from RefSeq and is a predicted model, not a curated record. The transcript has 3 exons. NCBI's taxonomy places the organism in Eukaryota, Metazoa, Chordata, Mammalia, Carnivora, Mustelidae.
UGGAAUGCUUUUCCAUUCUUUUGUGUCUUCUUCAAUUUCUUUCAUGAGUGUUCUGUAGUUCCUAGAAUAUAGAUCCUUUACCUCUUUUGUUAGGUUUAUUCCAAGGUAUCUUAUGGUUUUGGGUGCUAUUGUAAAUGGAAUCAAUUCUCUAAUUUCUCUUUCUACAGUUUCCUUGGGUUUGUCCGGUGAUGGGUAUUAAGGAGAGCACAUAUUGCAUGGAGCUCUGGAUGUUAUACACAGUAAAUCCUGGAACACUACAUCAAAAACUAAUGACGUGCUGUAUGGUGACUAACAUAACACAAUGAAAAAAAAGUAUGUCUCUUAGCCUACUGACCAUUCAAGCAAAGUCUUGAAGUUGGAAGAAGAAAAGAGAGAGUGCAAUGAUCUUUUGCAGAAUGGAGCUGCUCACAGUGGCUGUUGGGGUUGCCGUGCCUUUGUUCGUUUGAAGGCUGCUGCUGAGCCGGUCAGCUUAUAUGCACAAGACUGUUGCCAGGAACCGCCGGAAGAUUCAGAUUCAGGGGCUUCUGCUCAAACGCAGGGGACCAGAGAUCGUCAGUGAUUGCUGGAAUGUUGAUGGGUGACUUGAAUGUUUUCUGCAAAUCGUCAGAAAGGCCCUGGGACGGAGAGGCUGAAUUCAUUCCUGGCCCUGAGUCCUGCAUUCCUCAGCACAGACCCGAGGAAUGUGCUCCCAGGUGGUGCUGGGGACAGUUUGGAGCUUGGAUGGUCUUGAGAGGGGCUUGGAAAACCCUUUACCUCACCUUACAUCUCCCGGGAGGAUUUGUUACCAACCUCUACUGCCCUUGUGCUCCGCCACUGAUGAUUUAUUCGGGCAAGAGAAAAGGAGAAGGAAGGGGACCCACCGCGUAGGUGACUGGCCUCCCGUGUAAGGUCUGUGGCGGUUCUCCGAUUGAGCCGAUCUUCCCGACCCCUCUGCGCUCACACCUGUCCUGCUGACCACUAGGACGCUCCCAAGCCUCGGACCAAAUACACCACACACUCGGGAACGCCAGCGGCCGAGGCUGGAUGGGCGCACAGUUUUAGUGCAUCGAGUUUGAAGAGUUUGAAGAAUGAACUUUGGAGCCAGUCCAGCCUGGAUUCAAAUCUCAGUGACGUUCCCCCUGAGCCAACAGCCUGAGAAUGUUCCGAAACCUCUGGAUCCCUUGGUUCCUCGUGGAUAAAAUAAGGCUCAUAAGCUUGUUGUGAACAUGAGGUCAGAAAAUGCUUUAGAAUUGUACCCGGACUCAGAGGGAGCCCGAGAGAAACGAUGUUGAUCCUUUCUCUGUCCUCCUCAUCUUUCCCCUUCCUCUUUUUCAAUAAGACUCUGACUAAUGAUCAACGUGGGACCAAGAUCUGCCCGCCUUUCUCUGCAGCCACGUAGUCCUUUGGAAAGUUCCUCCGGAGGGAGAGGAAAAGAGCAAAGAUGAAAAAGAAAAGCCCCAAAGAGAAACAAAUUCUGCUUGUGUCCUUAUCAUCCUCGUCUCUUCUGUGGCUUCUCAUUUUUCGCUCUCAGGAUAAAGAGCAUGAAGUUUUUAGCCACUGCCUUCAGGGCCCCGUGUGGUCUCGUCCCUCCCACAAUGCCAGCCUUUUUUUUUUUUUUUUUGUCACCAAGCUCUGCCACUGUUUAUGUCUGUGGCUGCACGACAAAUUUUCACCAGCUCUGCCGCUUUAAGUCCACACUCAUUUCUGAUCUCACAGUUCGGGAGAUCCACCUUCAGGUAUGGCGUGCCUGGCUUCUCUGUUCAGGGUCGCACAAGGCAGAGUCAUCUUGUUGGCUAGACUGAGACCUUGCCUGGAGGCUCGGAGGGAAAAUCCACUCUCAAAGUUCAGUGGGUUGUGUUGUGUGUUUCUUCUUCCCCUCCCCCAAAUUCAGAAUCAUAGAAUGUGACCCAAUACCGCAAAUUAGACUCAAGCCCAAACCCAUUUACUCAGAAUGUGACCUUAUUUGAACAUAGGGUCCUUACAGAUGUGAUUGCGUUUAAAAAAAAAAAAAAGGUCAUAAGGUGAAUCUUAAUCUUAUAUGGCUGGUGUCCUUUGUAAAAGGAAGAAAUGUUCUCACAGAGAGAGACAUGUUAGAGGGAGGAAGAUGUGGAGACACAGGGAGGAGACAAAGGCCAUUGAUGAGCCAAGAAUAGAGAACUAGAGCAGAACUGUCCUUCACAGCCUCCAGAAGGAGCCAAUCCAGAAGGGCAGUGCCUGCCCAUGCCAUAAUCUUGUAUUUCCUGUCUUCUGAAAUGGGCAAUGUUCAAUGUCUAUGUUAUGGCGUCCCUAGGAAAUUAAGAUGCAAGCUCAUUGCUACUGUGGGCAGUUGUGGGUUUCUUACAUGUGUAGGACU